CCUGCUCAGAGAGCCGCAGGAUGGAACACCCCCUCUGGCAGCUUUGGCUGUGGACGGUCACCCGUGGCCUCCGACGCUGGCGUGGGACGAGGGCACACCCGCAGUGGCCAGCCGACCUGAUGCCAGAGACCAACCCCCGGAGAGCCACAGGCACAUGGGCCAAGGAGACUCCCAGACCAGCCCCAUCCCGUGGCCAGCAGAGGAAAAGGCCCGGGCUCUGACGGGAAGCCCAGCAUCAAGCUUCCAAGGCCAGAGUCGACCCUCCCUGAGCACAGGGCGUCCCCACAGCCCCCAGGAAGCCCGUUGUUUCCAGCAGGUGGCUGAAGGCGGCGGGAGUCCACCAGGGUCAGAACCGGGGCUGGACUUUGCCGGCAGCUCCGUGGAGGGGCCUGCCGCCAUGGAGGCUGCUCAGAGCUGCUCAGGGGAGCAGAGGACAGAGACCUAUCAGCAGGAGAACCCCCAAGCCCCUUUCUCCUGCCCAGAAGCUGCGCCGCCGACCGUGUCUCCAGGUGACGCCUCCACCCCUUCAAGGGCCCCCACCUUGAGUGAGGCCCCGUCCCCAGGUAAUGGACCAGCUUUCCAGUCAGAGCCAGCCCACUCCCACAGCCCCUGCCCUCCCCACCGCCUGGGUACUGUCUCCACCUGGGGUCUUCUGCUUUUGAUCCAUCGGCUUGGGGACCGUGGGAUGUGGGCUGUAUCCUUCCCAGGGUUGGUGGAACAUCUUCAGCGUAAAGGUGGUGAAUCAUCCCUAAACCCUCCUUUCUCUACAGCAGCUGAGGUGGCGGCACCCCCAGCCCCGCACAAGGACGGCCCCCCGGCCCGGCUCAUGGCCCUUUGGGACCUGGGCUCCGAGCCCGAGUCCACCCCCAGCGCCUGCUCAGGGGCGUCUUCUCCACGGUCCACUGCUGCCUCCUCGGGGAGCCUCGCGUCGUCCUGCCCUUCUCUCCAGGAGUUUCAGAAAGCAUCCGCCAUCCUGGUCCAGCUUUCCGAGAGCCCCACCUCCCUCUCGGAUGGGGAAGCUGGGGACACUCCAGACACAGACCUCAGCUGGGUGGGGGGACUCCCUGUUCCAGACUCCUGGGGGCUCCACCAGGGCGGAGGGGCAGAGACCUGGGAGGGGCUGGAGGGUACUGAGGCCCUUUCUGGGCGCGGCUCUGGCACUGGGGCGGCUGGCCUGGCUCCAGCAGGAGGUCUCCCCGUUGCUCAGUCUCUGUGGUUGAGGUCGGAGCAGUCCGAGUUGUCCAGCAAGGUCUGGGGCCGGGAGAGCCCACAGGACCCUGGCGCCGGUGCCAGGCCAGCCCCAGGGUACUGCUCGCCUGCAGGACACGCGUCCCACUUGGAACAGCCUGGGAUGCCCCUUGCCCUGCCUCCCUUUCUGGGCCCAGGGGAGGGGCAGGAAGAUUCUGGAACCAGUGGGAGCCCGACCAGUGAAUCAGACACAGGAAAAGCCCAGCGGAGGUCCUGGGAGGCUGCAGGAGCGAGGCUCCCAUCCCAAAUCUCUUCCUCGAGUGACUUCCACUUCACCCUUCCCUUCCCCUCCGGGACCUCAGCCUCUGAGUUUGGCAAAAGAGGAGAGACGGGGCCUCCGCAGGCCUCAGGUGGCUGCCCAGAGGGGCCCUGGGGCACUCACCCGAGUCCUUCCACUGAUGGGAAACCUCUACGGGCCUCCUCUGAGCCUGAAGUCCUCUUGAUGCCAGGGGCCCCUCCUGGGAACCUGGGUGGGCAGGCAGCCCAGACAGCUGACAGCCAGGCCCCUGGGCACGGGGGGAGCAGAGCCUCCCCUGUCCUGGAGGAAGCCUGCACUCCUCUGGCUGGUGGCUUCUUGCCUGAGAUCCUGUCCCCGGUGGACGAGGGGCUGUCCUACAGCAGCUUCGACCUCCCGUCCUCCACCCAGAGGGACUCUCGCCUCCCUCCUCUGCCUCCCAUCCUCCCCGCGGAUGGGGAGACUGACCCUGCCAGCGCCCACUCAGAAGACUUCCCCACCCUGCCCAAAGAUGCCGUGUGUCCUGGGGGCUCGCUGGACUCCCCAGGGGAGGCUGCCUCCCUCAUUAUGGGAGAGUGGUCCUCCCUGUCUGGGGAGGGUCUGUCUGAGUCACCGUCCCCGGGGCCCCAGGAGGAGGCUGGGCUCUGCCUUGGGGUGGCGGGACAGGGCAGAAGCCUUAGUGGAGAACUGGGUGAAUCAGGUUCUGUUGGGAGGGGCCAGGCCACGGACAGCUGCUUGUCUGAACCGGUCAGCUUGGGGUCUCCCUGGUGUAGGGGAGCAGGGGAUACCCCGGGGCGGCUCCUAGUGCUGACACCCCCGACCCUGUCCGGGUCUGGAGUAGCCUGCGCAUCUGUGGGGAGUCUGGCAGCUGGGGACCCAGGGCUGCCUGGCUCCGGGCGAGGGGACCUUGCUCUGGCUCUGGGCGCCGGACCGCACACUGCCCUCCCAGGCAUGGAGAGAGCCGAGGUGAUGGACCUGCUGUCCGCCCAGCUCAGCAGCAGGAUCCUGAGGGACACCCUGGCCGUGCUCUCGGAGGCAGCCCCAGCAGGCAGCCUGGCGACAGAGGGGCCCACGGGGACCAGCCGGGUCACACGGGCUCACAUGGCAGCCACUGGGCGGUCGUGGGGAAGCCUAGAGUUCUGAGAAGACAGGGCGGUGGCGGGGGGCUGUGGGGACACAGACGCUGUCUGUGAGAGCCCCCUGCCUGGCUGGCCGUCGAACGAGGCCUCCUAGACACAGCAAGGCCCCGGACAUGUUGUCUCCACGUGACUGUGUGUUAGCAUAUGUGUGUGUGGGCGUGCUGGGGGCCUCAGAAGAGGCCAAGAGGAGAGCGCAGCUCUGGGGGGUCUGGGCGGCCAGAUCCUGAGGCUGGGGGUUACAUCUGCACUGAUACGCCCUCUCGGAUCUGCCUCGUUGGGAAACCGGCGGGGAUGUUUGCCUGCCUCUGAUUUCUGAAGGGUAAACCUGGCGCCUCCACGACGUCCAGCUGGCGACUCCGGGCUGGGAGGUCCGUGUGCAUCCCCUUGUGCAGAUUAGAGGAGGAGGCAGCUCGGGAGAAGGUGAUUUCGCCCGCAGCCAAGUGACCCUCCGCCCGGCCUCUGAGCUGGAGUGGACCCCCGCCUCCCCAAGGGUGUGCAGGCCGCCUCCCAGAAGAAAUGAGAGCCCUUGCCAGGCUGGCCAUCGAAUGGGCCCUCCUGGACACGGCAAGGCCCCAGUGGGUUUCAGAGGUGGCAGCGUGUGGGCUCCUGCAGGGACGGCCUCGCAGGCAUCCCCUUACGAGAGCGCCUGUCCGCCUCAGCACCAGACUCAGGCGGGUGUCCAGGAAGUUGAUGCUGAGUCAAGCAUGAAGAGGGGUUCCCGUGGGAAGGAAGUGGGGAGAGGCUGAGACGGGAGGACGGGGUGAGACUGCCGGGAGGCCCGCAGGGACGCGGGUCUCGGUAGACUGGGCAGGGAGAGCCCUCGGGCCACCUCGGGGUGAGACCAGGGAAGCUGACCUUCAGGGGCUGAAGUUCAGGCCACUGCAGCACUGACCUCUCCCCACAGCAGCCGCCCCAUGAGCCGCUGAUGGGCUCUGAGGGGUCCCUGUGGUCCCCUCCUCCCCCAGGAAGCGCCUGUCUGUUCCCAUGGGGCUGUCUCACUUUAAAGUUGUUAGUCUUUCUCUCCUGAAUUGUCAUCAUCUGUGCACUUGGAGGAGAAGUAGCUUUUCAGUGAGCCCAACAAUCAGCUCUUUCACAAGAGGAAGCAGGGACUUCCCCGGUGGUCCAGUGGUUAGGGCUCUGCACGUCCACUACAGGGGGUGGGGUGGGGGGUGGGUUCAGUCCCUGAUCGGGGGACCAAGAUCCCACAUGUCACACAGCGUGGUCGAAAAUUAAACAAAUAAAAGGAACCAGCUUCCAUAUCGGCUUCUAAACCUCUGACGUGAUCAGGAUUUCUUGAGAUGAGGCUCACUCACGCUGUGCUUGACCUCUCAGAAGCCACUCUGCAUGUCCUACAGCAGUCUCUCUCCCCGUCUGUCAACUAAACCAUCCAUCAGUUAUCCGCAUGGGCUUCCCAGGUGGUAAAGAAUCUGCCAGCCGCUGCAGGAGACGCGGGAGACCCGGGUUCAGUCCCCGGAAGAUCCCCUGCAGGAGGGCAUGGCAAGCCACUCCAGUAUUCCUGCCUGAGAAAUCCCAUGGUCAGAGGAGCCUGCCAAGCUACAGUCCGUGGGGUCACAAAGAGUCAGACGCGACUGAGCGCACACACAUCACUUAUCAUCUCUUUAUUGUCUAUCCCGCAUCUAUCAUUUACAGCACCUAUCAAUCGUCUGCCUGCAUCAACUAUAGCAUCCGUCCAGCCAUUUCCAGUUCUCAAACUGGAAAAUACCUGCUUGCCGGGGAGUCCAGAAUCGAGCAGUCGGCGGCGUGUUGGCCUAAGGGACAUCGCUGUCCUGCUGCUGGUCCAGGAUAUGACCCCUGACCCCUGUGAGAUCCUGGGAAGUCAGCUGUCAAGUUAGAAUGACAGGAGGCCCUCUCCUGCAGCCCUGACUGCAGUGAGAGGAGCUCAUUCACUUUCCAGCACUUGUCAUUUAAAGUGGGCGGCGUCUUCAAAGCUGGCCUGGCAAAGCCCCCAGGUGCUGCCUCUCAGACCCCAUGGACCCCUGCAGGCCAAGGCAGGAACCACCUACCGCUGUCACCAGGCUCCAGCCUCUGGGGCAGCCACUCCAAGGGACCGGCUCACCAGCCCAGCCUGCAUCACAGCCCAGCUCACGCAGGACGGGGUCAUGGUCCCAGGAACAGCAGUCACGACAAUCCAUGUGGGCCUGACGCCCGAUGUCCCCAAGCCCGCUUGAACGCACAGAAGGGGUUUGGGUCCACUGGGGGGAAAAGUGUGUGCAUUCUCCGUGUACGCAAUUUCAGAACAAAUUUUGAGCUACAGCUUUCUUAUUGAUUUCCCCCUAGUUUUCUGAACAAAUUAGUCUGUGAUUUUUUAUUUUUUUUUUCCUAUUUAUCGCUGACCCUUUUGGAUUUACGAGGCCGUGUGAGAGGAAUUAUGUAUUUUACACACACCACGUUCGGUCAUAAAUCUCCCACAUCGAAACCCGGCAGAUUUGCCUCAGAUUCCAUAGUCUUGGGUCUGGCCGCUACGGGCGGGGGGCUGACAGCUGAGCACCAGGCAUGGCCAUGCCCGCAGCUGGACUCAGGGCCUCCCGGGUGCCCAGCAGGCGCGUGUGUCCCUGGGGUCACUUUGUGGCCCCUCACCCUUGAAGGGAGUCUGGUCACGGAGGACUUGUAUGAAGACCCUGGCCUUCUCCUUCCCAUGACAGCUGGAUCCAGGGAGCUUGGGGUUAUCCAGUGACCAGCCAGGGGAGGAAGACUGUCCACCAAAGGUGUCAGACAUGCUUAAUCUCCGCCGACAUUAUGUGUGUGGAGCUGAGGGCUGUGGCAUUCAGAUAUAUUGACCUGAAGCAAGACUUCAAUUUCAAGAUUGCUCCCUCCAAGGUCUCACCGUGCUCGCCUUGGCUCCAAUCCCUGUAGCCUCUUGGGCCAAUAAAUCUUGAUACCAGCCUCCAGAGAAGUCAUUAUCUUUCAUAGAAAAUGAUUAUUUCUCAGUUAAACCCCGCACGGAAUUUUCCCGUGAUCUGUCUCCAUCAGCCUCUCCACUCAGUUGUCCCCUUCUGCGUCAAACGCCCAGGACCUCACCCCUAGCGCCUUAAAUUCUAAUCACCAGAUGAGCUUUACGAGUCCUUCUGAUGCCUG
Molecule: long non-coding RNA, 5718 nt
Organism: Capra hircus (goat)
Lineage: Eukaryota; Metazoa; Chordata; Mammalia; Artiodactyla; Bovidae
Source: Ensembl